RNAcentral lists this ribosomal RNA (253 nucleotides) under uncultured bacterium. RNAcentral's name for it is "partial 16S ribosomal RNA". It matches the Rfam family "Bacterial small subunit ribosomal RNA", at positions 524 to 776 of the family's 1533-position model. The record is from RNAcentral.
UACGUAGGGUGCAAGCGUUGUCCGGAAUUAUUGGGCGUAAAGAGCUCGUAGGCGGUUUGUCGCGUCUGCUGUGAAAAUCCAGGGCUUAACCCUGGACCUGCAGUGGGUACGGGCAGACUGGAGUGCGGUAGGGGAGAUCGGAAUUCCUGGUGUAGCGGUGAAAUGCGCAGAUAUCAGGAGGAACACCGGUGGCGAAGGCGGAUCUCUGGGCCGUAACUGACGCUGAGGAGCGAAAGCAUGGGGAGCGAACAGG